GAGAAGGGUACUAAACCUCUUGCCCUAUUUUUUCUUCUGCACAAAACAUUUAUCCCUAAAACCUUCUACACUAUUUUCUUUCGCCCAAGGAAGAACGGGUACAACGUUUUGUUCUUCUUCUUUAUCACUCUGCCUUUUUUGUUGAUUGGUUUGCAGUGGCCACUAUUGGUGAGGAUUGGACUGAGGAAUUGGAAAAGAAAGACGGUGCCGAUGGGGAGGAGACGGAUUAGGUUUCUGAUGCCGGUAAGGGUUUUUUCAGUGGCAGAGGCAACCAUGAAUUGAAAUGGGAGCUAUGAAUGGAAGCGAUGAAGUGAAUAAAAUGGAUUUUAAGUUUUCUUAUGAAGAGAAAGGAAGUUAGUGUUAGAGCUCAACAGUUGGAAUGAAAUUGGCUUAUUCAAUGACAAUAGAAGCUGGAAUUCCAUUAAUUAUGGACACAAAUAUUGUAAUAUCAAGGGAGAUUUCAGAUUCUUAUACAUGGGGACAAACCAAUAAGAAAUCAACUGAUAAAACAUCUUCAUAUUCACUUAAAGUACAUCCAAGAAUUUCAGUCAAAGUGAGUGCCAUGCUAACCAAAGGAUAUUGUGAUGUUCCAUUCUCAUAUACUUAACGUGAUCUUCUUGUCAAUGGACAAACAAGAACUACAGAACAUGAUUAUGGUUUUCACAGGACUCAAUUGCUACAAUAUGGAGAGAAAUCUGGUAAUGAGUCUUGGAAAGGACUUUCUUAGAGAAUGGUAAGUUCCUUUUCUUUGUCUCUAAACCUAUUAUUAUAUUAUUUAUUUUGAAGUCUUGGAAAGAACUUUCUUGUGGAUGACCAAGAGUGCCCUGUAGAUGUUUACGUGAUAGAAUUAAGAGGGUCUGUAGGUAACUUAAUUGUUACAUUGGAAUGUAAUUUGUAACGCAUGAACCGUAUAAAACUGUUAAGUUAAUAAAGAGAAGUAGUUAUGUA
Long non-coding RNA from Cucumis melo (muskmelon), 948 nucleotides. RefSeq lists it as uncharacterized. The transcript has 2 exons. The record is from RefSeq and is a predicted model, not a curated record. Lineage: Eukaryota; Viridiplantae; Streptophyta; Magnoliopsida; Cucurbitales; Cucurbitaceae.